AGUUUGAUCAUGGCUCAGAUUGAACGCUGGCGGCAUGCUUNACACAUGCAAGUCGAACGGCGGCACGGGAGCAAUCCUGGUGGCGAGUGGCGAACGGGUGAGUAAUGUAUCGGAACGUACCUUUCAGUGGGGGAUAACGUAGCGAAAGUUACGCUAAUACCGCAUAUUCUGUGAGCAGGAAAGCAGGGGAUCGCAAGACCUUGCGCUGAUUGAGCGGCCGAUAUCAGAUUAGCUAGUUGGUGAGGUAAAGGCUCACCAAGGCGACGAUCUGUAGCGGGUCUGAGAGGAUGAUCCGCCACACUGGAACUGAGACACGGUCCAGACUCCUACGGGAGGCAGCAGUGGGGAAUUUUGGACAAUGGGGGCAACCCUGAUCCAGCCAUGCCGCGUGAGUGAAGAAGGCCUUCGGGUCGUAAAGCUCUUUCAGCCGGGAAGAAAUCACAUGGGUUAAUACCCUGUGUGGAUGACGGUACCGGAAUAAGAAGCACCGGCUAACUACGUGCCAGCAGCCGCGGUAAUACGUAGGGUGCGAGCGUUAAUCGGAAUUACUGGGCGUAAAGCGUGCGCAGGCGGUUUGUUAAGAUAGGCGUGAAAUCCCCGGGCUCAACCUGGGAACUGCGUUUAUGACUGGCAGGCUAGAGUAUGGCAGAGGGGGGUGGAAUUCCACGUGUAGCAGUGAAAUGCGUAGAGAUGUGGAGGAACACCGAUGGCGAAGGCAGCCCCCUGGGCCAAUACUGACGCUCAUGCACGAAAGCGUGGGUAGCAAACAGGAUUAGAUACCCUGGUAGUCCACGCCCUAAACGAUGUCAACUAGGUGUUGGGUGGGUAAAACCAUUUAGUACCGGAGCUAACGCGUGAGGUGACC
This 865-nucleotide ribosomal RNA is filed under the name uncultured bacterium. RNAcentral describes it as "bacterial SSU rRNA". It matches the Rfam family "Bacterial small subunit ribosomal RNA", at positions 10 to 870 of the family's 1533-position model. The record is from RNAcentral.